This 202-nucleotide long non-coding RNA is filed under the name Eucalyptus grandis. Its description in RNAcentral is "long non-coding RNA (EGRA_LNC003785)". The record is from RNAcentral. Lineage: Eukaryota; Viridiplantae; Streptophyta; Magnoliopsida; Myrtales; Myrtaceae.
CUAAAGGAACCACUUGUAUAUACGAUACUUGCCACAUCAUCAUCUUCUUUGUUCUCCAUUCUUCGAGAAUAGUCAUGGUCAAAUCUAGCAGUUUCUACUCCACGUCAAAAUGACAACAUGGGGGAUUGGAAUUCCACCAAAUUCUCCGGCCACGACCCGGUCAACCACGGCGCAGUGUGAAAUCGAUGCACGGGGGGAGGCG